RNAcentral lists this ribosomal RNA (253 nucleotides) under uncultured bacterium. Its description in RNAcentral is "partial 16S ribosomal RNA". It matches the Rfam family "Bacterial small subunit ribosomal RNA", at positions 524 to 776 of the family's 1533-position model. The record is from RNAcentral.
GACGAACCGUCCAAACGUUAUUCGGAAUCACUGGGCUUACAGAGUUCGUAGGCGGUCUGGAAAGUUGGGUGUGAAAUCCCUCGGCUCAACCGAGGAACUGCGCUUGAAACUACCAGACUCGAGGGAGAUAGAGGAAAGCGGAACUGAUGGUGGAGCGGUGAAAUGCGUUGAUAUCAUCAGGAACACCGAUUGCGAAGGCAGCUGGCCAACUUGUAACUGACGCUGAGGGACGAAAGUGUGGGGAUCAAACAGG